RNAcentral lists this ribosomal RNA (519 nucleotides) under uncultured Paenibacillus sp. Its description in RNAcentral is "partial 16S ribosomal RNA". Lineage: Bacteria; Bacillati; Bacillota; Bacilli; Caryophanales; Paenibacillaceae. The record is from RNAcentral.
CACGUAGUUAGCCGGGGCUUUCUUCUCAGGUACCGUCACUCCGGUAGCAGUUACUCUACCGGACGUUCUUCCCUGGCAACAGAGCUUUACGAUCCGAAAACCUUCAUCACUCACGCGGCGUUGCUCCGUCAGGCUUGCGCCCAUUGCGGAAGAUUCCCUACUGCUGCCUCCCGUAGGAGUCUGGGCCGUGUCUCAGUCCCAGUGUGGCCGUUCACCCUCUCAGGUCGGCUACGCAUCGUCGCCUUGGUGGGCCGUUACCCCACCAACUAGCUAAUGCGCCGCAGGCCCAUCCCCAAGCAGCAGAUUGCUCCGCCUUUCAUUCUCUCCUCAGGAGAAGAAAGAAAUUAUCCGGUAUUAGCUACCGUUUCCGGUAGUUAUCCCAGGCUUGAGGGCAGGUUGCCUACGUGUUACUCACCCGUCCGCCGCUAAGUUUGAAAGGAAGCAAGCUUCCUUUCAAACUCCGCUCGACUUGCAUGUAUUAGGCACGCCGCCAGCGUGUCCUCGUAGCACGAGCUAAAC